RNAcentral lists this transfer RNA (73 nucleotides) under Dipodomys ordii (Ord's kangaroo rat). It matches the Rfam family "tRNA". Rfam says of the family: Transfer RNA (tRNA) molecules are approximately 80 nucleotides in length. Their secondary structure includes four short double-helical elements and three loops (D, anti-codon, and T loops). The record is from Rfam by way of RNAcentral. Lineage: Eukaryota; Metazoa; Chordata; Mammalia; Rodentia; Heteromyidae.
GUCAGUAUAGCUCAAAUGGUAGAGUACCUGUCUAGGAAACAAGAGAUCCUGGGUUGAAAUACCAGUACUAUCA